UAUACCCCAAGACCGAGUUCUUACAGAGAUGCGCUUCAGGAACUUCUCAAAAUUCUUUUCUUUGCUGCAUUGGUUUUCUCAAUCUUCUUCUUCUUGUGGAUGUCUGUGUUGCACUGUUUACUAGAUUAAGGGGCUAAAAUCAUGUUUUUGCAGAGUUUUAAUUUGAAGCUCUGUUAAACUUUUAAGAUUAGCUUUUGUGAGAUUGGUAGGAUAUCUUUGAGGUAAUUUUUCUAAGGUUAUUGUUUGUCUACUAUCUCAAUGUAUCAAUCUAGUGGUUUUAUAUGAAUAUUGUUGUGUAUUGGUAUCUCAGUGUUUGCUGCUAGGUUUUUCAUUGGUUGUGUUAUAUAAUGUAUUAUAUCAGUAUGCUAGAGUUUUUUGUAUGGUGAUUUUUUUAUGGCUACUAGAGUUUUUUCAUAUGCUCUGCUGACGCUGCUUUUAGAUUGGAAUGUGAUUAGCUUAGGAUGAGUUGUAUGUUGAUGGAAUUGGGAGGGGAACAGAGGAAUCAAAAGUUUAUUUGUAUCGUAUGUGUGUGUUUUUGCAGUUUUUGUGUAAUUCCACACUGUUGCACUAUGAUGCAGAAAAAGCUUGUUUUCUUUUUUGUGAAAAUUUUGAAUUU
Molecule: long non-coding RNA, 616 nt
Filed under: Lathyrus oleraceus (garden pea)
Lineage: Eukaryota; Viridiplantae; Streptophyta; Magnoliopsida; Fabales; Fabaceae
Description: Pisum sativum (pea) long non-coding RNA (PSAT_LNC013424)
Source: RNAcentral